GGGACCUUGGAGCCUUCCACAAUCUGGGCCUGUUUUGUUGACUUGCUCCUCAUAGAUUGUGGUUCUCUGUUGACAGCUGUCAGGGUGGGGGGGAUUUUGUUUUUCAAGGAACAUUUGAUCAUGUCUAGAGAUGUUUGGGGUCAUCACCAACUGAUGGGCGGCGCUAUUGGUAUCCAGCGGGUAGAGGCCAGGGAUGUGAACAACCAUCCAAUAAUGCUCAGGAAAACCCCUAAGAACAACAAAAGAUGACCCAGCCCCAAAGGUCAGUGGGAGAAUACCUGUAAAAACCUGGUUCAGGGUAAGUUAACAGAAAUAGGAAAAGGGAUAGGGAUAGAGCUGGACAUAGACAUAAACACAUAUUCAGUUCAUUCUGCAAAGAAAGAAGAAAAAGACACUUGACUUCACUUCUGAUGGCUAAGUCUUCCCAGAGCUCAAUCACUGGAAAAGUGACCCUUCGCUGCUCCUGUUAGCCAGCUUUCCGCCACUCAAACAAAACACUUGAGAUAAUCAACUUGAAAAGAGGAAAAGGGGUUUGGGGCUCACAACAUAGGGUGACACAGUCCACCCCAGCAGGAGUAGCUGGCAGAGGAGCCCUGCUCAUCUCAUGGCAGGGAAGGGAAGCCAAGACACAAAGGAAGAGCCUGAGGUCCCAAGACCCCAAGGGCAAGGGAUCACCAUCGUCUUUGGAUUUUGGGCGUCUAUUUCAGGCAUUUCCCCUGAAUAGCCAAAGGGUUCUGAGUGAUGGCAAAGCAUGACUUAGGGGCCAGCUGCUGGCUGAUGAUUGGCUCACAGCGGCCCCAGCAGGGCCCAGGAGGUGGAAAUGGAACUCGG
This 831-nucleotide long non-coding RNA is filed under the name Marmota monax (woodchuck). Lineage: Eukaryota; Metazoa; Chordata; Mammalia; Rodentia; Sciuridae. The record is from RNAcentral.